RNAcentral lists this ribosomal RNA (591 nucleotides) under Bacillus sp. CH355b_12D. RNAcentral describes it as "bacterial SSU rRNA". It matches the Rfam family "Bacterial small subunit ribosomal RNA", at positions 57 to 632 of the family's 1533-position model. Lineage: Bacteria; Bacillati; Bacillota; Bacilli; Caryophanales; Bacillaceae. The record is from RNAcentral.
GCAGUCGAGCGGAUUGAUGGGAGCUUGCUCCCUGAAUCAGCGGCGGACGGGUGAGUAACACGUGGGUAACCUGCCUGUAAGACUGGGAUAACUCCGGGAAACCGGGGCUAAUACCGGAUAGUUCUUUUCCUCGCAUGAGGAAAAGUGGAAAGGCGGCUUCGGCUGCCACUUACAGAUGGACCCGCGGCGCAUUAGCUAGUUGGUGAGGUAACGGCUCACCAAGGCAACGAUGCGUAGCCGACCUGAGAGGGUGAUCGGCCACACUGGGACUGAGACACGGCCCAGACUCCUACGGGAGGCAGCAGUAGGGAAUCUUCCGCAAUGGACGAAAGUCUGACGGAGCAACGCCGCGUGAGUGAUGAAGGUUUUCGGAUCGUAAAGCUCUGUUGUUAGGGAAGAACAAGUGCCGUUCGAAUAGGGCGGCACCUUGACGGUACCUAACCAGAAAGCCACGGCUAACUACGUGCCAGCAGCCGCGGUAAUACGUAGGUGGCAAGCGUUGUCCGGAAUUAUUGGGCGUAAAGCGCGCGCAGGCGGUCUCUUAAGUCUGAUGUGAAAGCCCACGGCUCAACCGUGGAGGGUCAUUGGANA